This 466-nucleotide ribosomal RNA is filed under the name uncultured bacterium. RNAcentral describes it as "partial 16S ribosomal RNA". It matches the Rfam family "Bacterial small subunit ribosomal RNA", at positions 28 to 507 of the family's 1533-position model. The record is from RNAcentral.
GACGAACGCUGGCGGCGUGCUUAACACAUGCAAGUCGAACGGAAAGGCCCUGCUUUUGUGGGGUGCUCGAGUGGAACGGGUGAGUAACACGUGAGUAACCUGCCCUUGACUUUGGGAUAACUUCAGGAAACUGGGGCUAAUACCGGAUAGGAGCUCCUGCUGCAUGGUGGGGGUUGGAAAGUUUCGGCGGUUGGGGAUGGACUCGCGGCUUAUCAGCUUGUUGGUGGGGUAGUGGCUUACCAAGGCUUUGACGGGUAGCCGGCCUGAGAGGGUGACCGGCCACAUUGGGACUGAGAUACGGCCCAGACUCCUACGGGAGGCAGCAGUGGGGAAUAUUGCACAAUGGGCGGAAGCCUGAUGCAGCAACGCCGUGUGCGGGAUGACGGCCUUCGGGUUGUAAACCGCUUUCGCCUGUGACGAAGCGUGAGUGACGGUAAUGGGUAAAGAAGCACCGGCUAACUACGUG